UACGUAGGGUGCGAGCGUUAAUCGGAAUUACUGGGCGUAAAGCGUGCGCAGGCGGUUCGUUGUGUCGGCGGUGAAAGCCCCGGGCUUAACCUGGGAAUGGCCGUCGAAACUGGCGAACUGGAGUGUGGCAGAGGGGGGUGGAAUUCCGCGUGUAGCAGUGAAAUGCGUAGAGAUGCGGAGGAACACCGAUGGCGAAGGCAGCCCCCUGGGCUGACACUGACGCUCAGGCACGAAAGCGUGGGGAGCAAAAGGG
RNAcentral lists this ribosomal RNA (253 nucleotides) under uncultured bacterium. RNAcentral describes it as "partial 16S ribosomal RNA". It matches the Rfam family "Bacterial small subunit ribosomal RNA", at positions 524 to 776 of the family's 1533-position model. The record is from RNAcentral.